AUUGAACGCUGGCGGCAUGCUUUACACAUGCAAGUCGAACGGCAGCACGGGGGCAACCCUGGUGGCGAGUGGCGAACGGGUGAGUAAUGCAUCGGAACGUAUCUUUAAGUGGGGGAUAACGCAUCGAAAGAUGCGCUAAUACCGCAUAAUCUCUGAGGAGAAAAGCAGGGGAUCGCAAGACCCUUGCGCUUUUGGAGCGGCCGAUGUCUGAUUAGCAGGUUGGUGGGGUAAAGGCUUACCAAGGCUUCGAUCAGUAGCUGGUCUGAGAGGACGACCAGCC
Molecule: ribosomal RNA, 280 nt
Filed under: uncultured bacterium
Lineage: Bacteria
Description: partial 16S ribosomal RNA
Rfam family: Bacterial small subunit ribosomal RNA
Source: RNAcentral